Long non-coding RNA from Girardinichthys multiradiatus, 972 nucleotides. RefSeq lists it as uncharacterized. The record is from RefSeq and is a predicted model, not a curated record. The transcript is spliced from 2 exons. Lineage: Eukaryota; Metazoa; Chordata; Actinopteri; Cyprinodontiformes; Goodeidae.
UCACUAAUGACACAUUUCAUUUCAUUGAACUGAAUUGAAUUUUUUUAAUAAACGUCGGGGAUUCUAACGGCAUUUGGGGCUUAAUGCAGGUUUUUUUUUAUAGAUGUGUGUUUGAAAUGUAAUCCUCAGUAAAAUCCAAUCUGCAUAAAACGUCCGGGGUUCAGCCCUGAACGCCAGUGUCAGACGAAACCUUUCAUCCAGUCCAAUUGAGUAAUAUGUGCUAAGUUUUCAUAUUCCCAUCUGCCCUUGAAUGCAACUGCGCUUGCGUGUGUGCGUGACGUAGCUUCGAGCGGAUCUGCGCUAGAGGCACACGGUAGACGUUAGGCCCUGCAGCUGGUUUGUUUUCUCCAGAUGAACGUCCGAAUGAUUCUGCACAAAGAGUCGGAUCCUAAAACAGUUCUUUGGAACGCCGACAGACCUGGUGUCAACACGCUGCAGCCAUGGGCUCGUCUGUCAAACUGAGCCAAGACCUGAAAAUGAAGCUUGUUGAUGCAUACAGAGAUGGAAAGGGCUACAAGAAGAUUUCAAAGUGUUUUGGAUUUUCGAUUUCCACCAUUCGGAACGUGAUCAGAAAAUGGAAGUCAACAGGAUCUGCGGAAGUCAAGGCAAGAUCUGGAAGGCCAAGAAAAAUAUCAAAGCAAACUGCGCAUCUGAUGGGCAGAAAGGCAACAGAGAACCCCCACCUGACAGUAAAGGAGCUGCAGAUAGGGCUGGCAGAUGCAGGAGUGGUGGUGCAUGCGUCCACCGUGCAGCGUUGUUUGAACAAACAGGGUCUCCACAGAAGAAUCCGGAAGAAGGCUCAGAAAGACGCUGAACCAGAGCGGAGUACACAUGAAGCUCGAACAGACAAACUGGAAUAAUCUGUAGUUAUUUAGUUUAACUUGUUGACAACAGGAGAGAAGAAAUAUGAUUGUCCUUAUCUAUUUAAACUGUCUUUGACUGCAGGUGCAAUAAAAGAAGCCAAAGCAUGAA